Molecule: ribosomal RNA, 497 nt
Filed under: uncultured bacterium
Lineage: Bacteria
Description: partial 16S ribosomal RNA
Rfam family: Bacterial small subunit ribosomal RNA
Source: RNAcentral
GAUGAACGCUGGCGGCGUGCCUAAUACAUGCAAGUCGAGCGAACAGACGAGGAGCUUGCUCCUUUGACGUUAGCGGCGGACGGGUGAGUAACACGUGGAUAACCUACCUAUAAGACUGGGAUAACUUCGGGAAACCGGAGCUAAUACCGGAUAACAUGUUGAACCGCAUGGUUCAACAGUGAAAGACGGUCUUGCUGUCACUUAUAGAUGGAUCCGCGCCGCAUUAGCUAGUUGGUAAGGUAACGGCUUACCAAGGCAACGAUGCGUAGCCGACCUGAGAGGGUGAUCCGCCAACCCGGAACUUGGACACGGUCCCGACUCCUACGGGGGGGAGCCGUAGGGAAUCUUCCGGAAUGGGCGGAAGCCUGACGGAGCAACGCCGCGUGAGUGAAGAAGGUCUUCGGAUCGUAAAACUCUGUUAUUAGGGAAGAACAAAUGUGUAAGUAACUAUGCACGUCUUGACGGUACCUAAUCAGAAAGCCACGGCUAACUACGUG